UACGUAGGGCGCAAGCGUUAUUCGGAAUUAUUGGGCGUAAAGGGCGCGUAGGCGGCUUGGCAAGUGGAUGGUGAAAUCCCUCGGCUUAACCGAGGAACUGCCGUCCAAACUGCUUCGCUUGAGACCGGGAGAGGUGAGUGGAAUUCCCAGUGUAGCGGUGAAAUGCGUAGAUAUUGGGAGGAACACCAGUGGCGAAGGCGGCUCACUGGACCGGUACUGACGCUGAUGCGCGAAAGCGUGGGGAGCAAACGGG
Molecule: ribosomal RNA, 253 nt
Filed under: uncultured bacterium
Lineage: Bacteria
Description: partial 16S ribosomal RNA
Rfam family: Bacterial small subunit ribosomal RNA
Source: RNAcentral